UACCGAGUGGCGGACGGGUGAGUAACGCGUGGGACCUGCCCAUCCGGGGAUACGAUGGAACGACUGUAAUACCGCAUAAGCGCACGGCAUCGCAUGAUGCAGUGUGAAAAACUGAGGUGGAAUGGGAUGGCCCCGCGUCUGAUUAGCCAGUUGGCAGGGUAACGGCCUACCAAAGCGACGAUCAGUAGCCGGCCUGAGAGGGCGACCGGCCACAUUGGGACUGAGACACGGCCCAAACUCCUACGGGAGGCAGCAGUGGGGAAUAUUGCACAAUGGGGGAAACCCUGAUGCAGCCGACGCCGCGUGAGUGAAGAAGUAUUUCGGUAUGUAAAGCUCUAUCAGCAGGGAAGAAGAUGACGGUACCUGCACAAGAAGCCCCGGCUAACUACGUGCCAGCCGCCGC
RNAcentral lists this ribosomal RNA (403 nucleotides) under uncultured bacterium. RNAcentral describes it as "bacterial SSU rRNA". It matches the Rfam family "Bacterial small subunit ribosomal RNA", at positions 89 to 518 of the family's 1533-position model. The record is from RNAcentral.